This 1590-nucleotide ribosomal RNA is filed under the name Triticum aestivum (bread wheat). RNAcentral describes it as "partial small subunit ribosomal RNA". The record is from RNAcentral. Lineage: Eukaryota; Viridiplantae; Streptophyta; Magnoliopsida; Poales; Poaceae.
AUGACGAGCACUCGCCAAGCCACUGACCACACUGACAGCACCGUCAAGCUCAGCUCAGCUCAGCUAAGCAUGGCUUGGCUGCGGCUGCAAGCUGCUGCCGCCGUCCUCGCUCUGACGGCCAUCGCCGGCGCCGCACACGGCUUCGAGUUCCACGAGGCCACCAUCGACGCCAUCCAGCUCGGCUUCCGCAACGGCAGCCUCACCUCGACCGCGCUCGUCCGGUUCUACCUGGACCAGAUCGGCCGGCUGAACCCGCUGCUGCGCGCCGUCAUCGAGGUCAACCCGGACGCGCUCCGGCAGGCGGCUUGCGCCGACGCCGAGCGCGGCCGCGGCCAGCCCACCGGCGCGCUGCACGGCGUCCCCGUCCUGCUCAAGGACAACAUCGCCACCCGCGACGCGCUCAACACCACGGCCGGCUCCUUGGCGCUCCUCGGCUCCGUGGUGAGGCGGGACGCCGGCGUGGCUGCCCGGCUCCGGCGCGCGGGCGCCGUGGUGCUCGGCAAGUCCAACCCCUCCGAGUGGUCCGAGUUCCGCCAAGUCGACAACGGGUGGAGCGCGCGCGGCGGCCAGACGCGGAACCCGUACGUGUUGUCGUCCGACCCGUGCGGGUCGAGCGCCGGGUCGGGCGUGGCCGCGGCGGCGAACAUGGCGGCCGUGACGCUGGGCACCGACACCGACGGCUCCAUACUCUGCCCGUCGUCGUUCAACUCCGUGGUCGGGAUCCGGCCGACCCUCGGCCUCACCAGCCGCGCCGGCGUGGUGCCCAUCACCCCGUUACAGGACACGGUCGGACCGAUUUGCCGGACGCUGUCGGACGCGGUGCACGUGCUGGACGCCAUCGUCGGCUACGACGAGCUCGAUGCCGCGGCCACCAGAGUGGCGUCCAAGUUCAUCCCUCCCGGCGGGUACGUUCAGUUCCUAAAGAAGGACGGGCUGAGAGGAAAGAGGGUCGGCGUCCUCCGUGGAUUCUUCCAAUCAUACGCAGGCACGCGGCGACUGAGGGUGUACGAGCAGCACCUCGCCACCAUGAGGAAACAUGGGGCCAUGGUGGUCGAUAACUUGCAUGUCGCAGCCAAUCCGACGGCUCUGUUGGAUGAUAUCAGCUCCAACGAGGGGAUCGCAGUGGUGGCAGAGUUCAAGCUCAGCAUAAACGCCUACUUGGCAGACUUGGUCUACUCCCCGGUCCGUUUGCUCGCAGACAUCAUAGCUUUCAACAACGCACAUCCUAUAGAGGAGCGGAUGAAAGAUUUUGGGCAGGAUGACCUUAUCGCGGCCCAAAACACAAGCGGCAUUGGCCCCGUGGAAAGAGUGGCGAUACGACGGCUAAAGGAACUAUCAGCUAAUGGGCUGGAGAAGUUGAUGAAGGAGCACCAACUAGACGCGAUUGUGACGCCCGGCAGCGACGCUUCUAGCCUUCUCGCCACAGGUGGUCACCCUGGCAUCAUUGUGCCAGCGGGGUUUAAUGAGCAAGGGGUUCCCUUUGGCAUAUGCUUCGGUGGGCUGCAGGGGUACGAGCCAAGGCUGAUCGAGAUGGCGUAUGCAUUCGAGCAAGCUACCAAAGUGAGGAAGCCACCCAUGUUCAAGCCCUAG